RNAcentral lists this ribosomal RNA (497 nucleotides) under uncultured bacterium. Its description in RNAcentral is "partial 16S ribosomal RNA". It matches the Rfam family "Bacterial small subunit ribosomal RNA", at positions 28 to 507 of the family's 1533-position model. The record is from RNAcentral.
GAUGAACGCUGGCGGCGUGCCUAAUACAUGCAAGUCGAGCGAACGGACGAGAAGCUUGCUUCUCUGAUGUUAGCGGCGGACGGGUGAGUAACACGUGGAUAACCUACCUAUAAGACUGGGAUAACUUCGGGAAACCGGAGCUAAUACCGGAUAAUAUUUUGAACCGCAUGGUUCAAAAGUGAAAGACGGUCUUGCUGUCACUUAUAGAUGGAUCCGCGCUGCAUUAGCUAGUUGGUAAGGUAACGGCUUACCAAGGCAACGAUGCAUAGCCGACCUGAGAGGGUGAGCGGCCACACUGGAACUGACACACGGUCCAGACGCCUACGGGAGGCAGCAGUAGGGAAUCUUCCGCAAUGGGCGAAAGCCUGACGGAGCAACGCCGCGUGAGUGAUGAAGGUCUUCGGAUCGUAAAACUCUGUUAUUAGGGAAGAACAUAUGUGUAAGUAACUGUGCACAUCUUGACGGUACCUAAUCAGAAAGCCACGGCUAACUACGUG